CCUGGUUGAUCCUGACAGUAGUCAUAUGCUUGUCUCAAAGAUUAAGCCAUGCAUGUGUAAGUAUGAACAAAUUCAGACUGUGAAAAUGCGAAUGGCUCAUUAAAUCAGUUAUAGUUUGUUUGAUGGUAUCUACUACUCGGAUAACCGUAGUAAUUCUAAAGCUAAUACGUGCAACAAACCCCGACUUCUGGAAGAGAUUCAUUUAUUAGAUAAAAGGUCGACGCAGCUCUGCCCGUUGCUGCGAUGAUUCAUGAUAACUCGACGGAUCGUACGGCCAUCAUGUCGGCGAUGCAUCAUUCAAAUUUCUGCCCUAUCAACUUUUGAUGGUAGGAUAGUGGCCAACCAUGGUGGUGACGGGUGACGGAUAAUUAGGGUUCGAUUCCGGAGAGGGAGCCUGAUAAACGGCUACCACAUCCAAGGAGAGCAGCAGGCGCGCAAAUUACCCAAUCCUGACACGGGGAGGUAGUGAUAAUAAAUAACUAUACCGGGCUCAAUGAGUCUGGUAAUUGGAAUGAGUACAAUCUAAAUCCCUUAACGAGGAUCCAUUGGAGGGAAAGUCUGGUGCCAGCAGCCGCGGUAAUUCCAGCUCCAAUAGCGUAUAUUUAAGUUGUUGCAGUUAAAAAGCUCGUAGUUGGACUUUGGGAUGGGCCGGCCGGUCCGCCUAUGGUGUGCACCGAUUAUCUCGUCCCUUCUGUCGACGAUGCGCUCCUGGCCUUAACUGGCCGGGUCGUGCCUCCGGAGCUGUUACUUUGAAGAACGAAAGUUGGGGGCUCGAAGGCGAUCAGAUACCGUCCUAGUCUCAACCAUAAACGAUGCCGACCUGGGAUCAUCGGAUGUUUCUUUUAGGACUCCACCGGCACCUUAUGAGAAAUCAAAGUUUUUGGGUUCCGGGGGGAGUAUGGUCGCAAGGAUGAAACAUAAAGGAAUUGACGGAAGGGCACCACCAGGAGUGGAGCCUGCGGCUUAAUUUGACUCAACACGGGGAAACUUACCAGGUCCAGACAUAGUAAGGAUUGACAGACUGAGAGCUCUUUCUUGAUUCUAUGGGUGGUGGUGCAUGGCCGUUCUUAGUUGGUGUAGCGAUUUGUCUGGUUAAUUACGUUAACGAACGAGACCUCAUCCUGCUAACUAGCUAUGCGGAGGUAUCCCUUCGCAGCCAGCUUCUUAGAGGGACUACGGCCUUUUAGGCCUUGGAAGUUUGAGGCAAUAACAGGUCUGUGAUGCCCUUAGAUGUUCUGGGCCACACGCGCACUACACUGAUGUAUUCAACGAGUCUAUAGCCUUGGCCGACAGGCCCGGGUNUCCUUGGCCGACAAGCUCGGGUAAUCUUUGAAAUUUCCUCAUGAAAGGGAUAGAUCAUUGAAAUUGUUGGUCUUCAACGAGGAAUUCCUAGUAAUCACGAGUCAUCAGCUCGCGUUGACUAUGUCCCUGCCCUUUGUACACACCGCCCGUCGCUCCUACCGAUUGAAUGAUCUGGUGAAAUGUUCGGAUCGCGGCGACGUGGGCGGUUUGCUGCCCACGACGUCGCGAGAAGUCCAUUGAACCUUAUCAUUUAGUGGAAGGAGAAGUCGUAACAAGGUUUCCGUAGGUGAACCUGCGAAAG
RNAcentral lists this ribosomal RNA (1603 nucleotides) under Capsicum baccatum. RNAcentral describes it as "bacterial SSU rRNA". It matches the Rfam family "Eukaryotic small subunit ribosomal RNA". Lineage: Eukaryota; Viridiplantae; Streptophyta; Magnoliopsida; Solanales; Solanaceae. The record is from RNAcentral.